RNAcentral lists this ribosomal RNA (520 nucleotides) under uncultured bacterium. Its description in RNAcentral is "bacterial SSU rRNA". It matches the Rfam family "Bacterial small subunit ribosomal RNA", at positions 120 to 674 of the family's 1533-position model. The record is from RNAcentral.
GGGAAUCUGCCCCUUGGUUCGGAAUAACAGUUAGAAAUGACUGCUAAUACCGGAUGAUGACGUAAGUCCAAAGAUUUAUCGCCAUGGGAUGAGCCCGCGUAGGAUUAGCUAGUUGGUGUGGUAAAGGCGCACCAAGGCGACGAUCCUUAGCUGGUCUGAGAGGAUGAUCAGCCACACUGGGACUGAGACACGGCCCAGACUCCUACGGGAGGCAGCAGUGGGGAAUAUUGGACAAUGGGCGCAAGCCUGAUCCAGCAAUGCCGCGUGAGUGAUGAAGGCCUUAGGGUUGUAAAGCUCUUUUACCCGUGAUGAUAAUGACAGUAGCGGGAGAAUAAGCCCCGGCUAACUCCGUGCCAGCAGCCGCGGUAAUACGGAGGGGGCUAGCGUUGUUCGGAAUUACUGGGCGUAAAGCGCACGUAGGCGGCUUUGUAAGUUAGAGGUGAAAGCCUGGAGCUCAACUCCAGAACGGCCUUUAAGACUGCAUCGCUUGAAUCCAGGAGAGGUGAGUGGAAUUCCGAGU